Non-coding RNA from Phascolarctos cinereus (koala), 491 nucleotides. The record is from RefSeq and is a predicted model, not a curated record. Lineage: Eukaryota; Metazoa; Chordata; Mammalia; Diprotodontia; Phascolarctidae.
UGCAAAAUUUCUGAAAGACCAGGUUCUCCAGCAUGAAGGAGGCAGGAUUGUGUCUAGGCCCUUCCUCAGGGGCCACAGGAUGGUGUAAGCCAAGGGCAGAGGCAGAGACCUAGAAGGCCGGUAGAUCAGAUGGAAUAAAAGGGGACAAAGGAAAGGAGAGAGGUCAUUUCACCGGAAAGGCCCGUGGUGAGCCUGAACAGCCUUCAUGGCAUUGCAGACAAGAAGGACAAGAUCACAAGAAGACAUCCAAUCCAGUUUGACAGAGGAGAAAAGGGAGGCUGGGGGAGAUGAGGUGACAAGGCAGGAAGCCUCAGAAGUGAGUUUUGAACUCACUUCUUCAGUCUCUGCUGUCCCACGCGAAAGGGAAAAUUAGUUUAAAAACGUCAUCAAAGAAGUGUGUGAUUAGAAAAGAACUUGGUCCAGCCAUGUAAUGAGAGAGGGAUAACUAAGAGACAGCUUGAGUUCUCCAUCGAGAUCAAUGCAAUAACAAA